RNAcentral lists this long non-coding RNA (291 nucleotides) under Glycine max (soybean). RNAcentral's name for it is "long non-coding RNA (GMAX_LNC000516)". Lineage: Eukaryota; Viridiplantae; Streptophyta; Magnoliopsida; Fabales; Fabaceae. The record is from RNAcentral.
CGGCGAAGACCACCGCGGACCGCCAGGGGGCGUGCAGUUGCCUGAAAAACCUUGCCAAUAAUAUGGGACAGAGUUUGAAUGCCGGCAACGCAGCCUCUCUCCCUGGCAAAUGUGGCGUCAACAUCCCUUACAAGAUCAGCACCUCCACCAACUGCGCCACGUAUGUUAAACUCACCACUCACUCCAUAUGCUUUAUUUUAAUUUCCUCACACAUUUCAUUCAAAAUCUCUUAGAGAGAAAUGUUAAGACUCUUUGACACACUCUUAUGAUCGAACACACUCUUUUUUAUUU